GAUGAACGCUCGCGGGAGGCCUAACACAUGCAAGCCGAGCGGUAGAGUCUCUUCGGAGACUUGAGAGCGGCGCACGGGUGCGGAACACGUGUGCAACCUGCCUUUAUCUGGGGGAUAGCCUUUCGAAAGGAAGAUUAAUACCCCAUAAUAUACUGGAUGGCAUCAUCUGGUAUUGAAAACUCCGGUGGAUAGAGAUGGGCACGCGCAAGAUUAGAUAGUUGGUGAGGUAACGGCUCACCAAGUCAGCGAUCUUUAGGGGGCCUGAGAGGGUGAUCCCCCACACUGGUACUGAGACACGGACCAGACGCCUACGGGAGGCAGCAGUGAGGAAUAGUGGACAAUGGGUGAGAGCCUGAUCCAGCCAUCCCGCGUGAAGGACGACGGCCCUAUGGGUUGUAAACUUCUUUUGUAUAGGGAUAAACCUAGAUACGUGUAUCUAGCUGAAGGUACUAUACGAAUAAGCACCGGCUAACUCCGUG
RNAcentral lists this ribosomal RNA (479 nucleotides) under uncultured bacterium. RNAcentral's name for it is "partial 16S ribosomal RNA". It matches the Rfam family "Bacterial small subunit ribosomal RNA", at positions 28 to 507 of the family's 1533-position model. The record is from RNAcentral.